GAUGAACGCUGGCGGCGUGCCUAAUACAUGCAAGUCGAGCGAACAGACGAGGAGCUUGCUCCUCUGACGUUAGCGGCGGACGGGGGAGUAAAACGUGGAUAACCUACCUAUAAGACUGGGAUAACUUCGGGAAACCGGAGCUAAUACCGGAUAAUAUAUUUAACCGCAUGGUUCAAUAGUGAAAGACGGUUUUGCUGUCACUUAUAGAUGGAUCCGCGCCGCAUUAGCUAGUUGGUAAGGUAACGGCUUACCAAGGCAACGAUGCGUAGCCGACCUGAGAGGGUGAUCGGCCACACUGGAACUGAGACACGGUCCAGACUCCUACGGGAGGCAGCAGUAGGGAAUCUUCCGCAAUGGGCGAAAGCCUGACGGAGCAACGCCGCGUGAGUGAUGAAGGUCUUCGGAUCGUAAAACUCUGUUAUUAGGGAAGAACAAAUGUGUAAGUAACUAUGCACGUCUUGACGGUACCUAAUCAGAAAGCCACGGCUAACUACGUG
RNAcentral lists this ribosomal RNA (497 nucleotides) under uncultured bacterium. Its description in RNAcentral is "partial 16S ribosomal RNA". It matches the Rfam family "Bacterial small subunit ribosomal RNA", at positions 28 to 507 of the family's 1533-position model. The record is from RNAcentral.